Molecule: long non-coding RNA, 432 nt
Organism: Podarcis muralis (Common wall lizard)
Lineage: Eukaryota; Metazoa; Chordata; Lepidosauria; Squamata; Lacertidae
Source: RefSeq, a predicted model, not a curated record
AUGCCAGCAAAUGAAUACAGCUACGCACUACUCUCUUCUACAGGUGCUAGUUUGAAGCGCACUGUAGCUUUACAGCCAACAUAUAAUUUGGAAGAAGAUAUCUUCAAUGGAAGACCCUCCGGGGAUAAAUGGAUAGACUGUGUAUUUGAAGCAGUGUUAGGCCCUGUGCUGAACAAGGGACAAACUUUUGAAGAGCAGAGGUGUUGUUUUAUUGCAGCAAUAUAAGAAAAUCUUCUGACACCUUAAAGUUUGUGUCAUAGGCCAGAAGUCAGCUUCACCUGCUGAACAGCAGCCUGAAGGGGGAGAAGGUGGAGUGACCCCACGUGCAGCUGAUCAGUCUUCAAGGACACAGAGGAAAAGGCAUUGAUGACAACCAGCUGGCUUCAGCCUUCUUAAGCAGAGCUUCCAGCAGCAAUCAGAUGCUGGUAACAA